This 374-nucleotide ribosomal RNA is filed under the name uncultured bacterium. RNAcentral's name for it is "bacterial SSU rRNA". It matches the Rfam family "Bacterial small subunit ribosomal RNA", at positions 524 to 898 of the family's 1533-position model. The record is from RNAcentral.
UACGGGGGGAGCGAGCGUUGUCCGGAUUUAUUGGGCGUAAAGGGCAUGUAGGUGGUCUUUUAAGUCAGUUGUUAAAACUAUCGGCUUAACCGGUAAUUGCAAUUGAUACUGGAGGACUUGAAUCUGAGAGGGGAUAGUGGAAUAUCAAGUGUAGCGGUGGAAUGCGUAGAUAUUUGAUAGAACACCUGAGGUGAAGACGACUAUCUGGCUCAUGAUUGACACUGAGAUGCGAAAGUAUGGGGAGCAAACAGGAUUAGAUACCCUGGUAGUCCAUACCGUAAACGAUGGGAACUAGGUGUCUGGGGACUAACCCCCUGGGCGCCGUAGCUAACGCGUUAAGUUCCCCGCCUGGGGAGUACGAUCGCAAGGUUGAA